GACGAACGCUGGCGGCGUGCUUAACACAUGCAAGUCGAACGGAAAGGCCCUGCUUUUGUGGGGUGCUCGAGUGGCGAACGGGUGAGUAACACGUGAGUAACCUGCCCUUGACUUUGGGAUAACUUCAGGAAACUGGGGCUAAUACCGGAUAGGAGCUCCUGCUGCAUGGUGGGGGUUGGAAAGUUUCGGCGGUUGGGGAUGGACUCGCGGCUUAUCAGCUUGUUGGUGGGGUAGUGGCUUACCAAGGCUUUGACGGGUAGCCGGCCUGAGGGGGUGACCGGCCACAUUGGGACUGAGAUACGGCCCAGACUCCUACGGGGGGCAGGCGUGGGGAAUACUGCACAAUGGGCGGAAGCCUGAUGCAGCAACGCCGCGUGCGGGAUGACGGCCUUCGGGUUGUAAACCGCUUUCGCCUGUGACGAAGCGUGAGUGGCGGUAAUGGGUAAAGAAGCACCGGCUAACUACGU
Molecule: ribosomal RNA, 467 nt
Filed under: uncultured bacterium
Lineage: Bacteria
Description: partial 16S ribosomal RNA
Rfam family: Bacterial small subunit ribosomal RNA
Source: RNAcentral